UACGGAGGGUGCAAACGUUGCUCGGAAUCAUUGGGCGUAAAGCGCACGUAGGCGGUCCAGCAAGUCGGGUGUGAAAGCCCUCGGCUUAAUCGAGGAAGUGCAUUCGAAACUACUGGACUUGAAUACUGGAGGGGGUCGCGGAAUUCCCGGUGUAGAGGUGAAAUUCGUAGAUAUCGGGAGGAACACCAGUGGCGAAGGCGGCGACCUGGACAGAUAUUGACGCUGAGGUGCGAUAGCGUGGGGAGCAAACAGG
This 253-nucleotide ribosomal RNA is filed under the name uncultured bacterium. RNAcentral describes it as "partial 16S ribosomal RNA". It matches the Rfam family "Bacterial small subunit ribosomal RNA", at positions 524 to 776 of the family's 1533-position model. The record is from RNAcentral.